RNAcentral lists this ribosomal RNA (433 nucleotides) under uncultured bacterium. RNAcentral describes it as "partial 16S ribosomal RNA". It matches the Rfam family "Bacterial small subunit ribosomal RNA", at positions 29 to 507 of the family's 1533-position model. The record is from RNAcentral.
AACGAACGCUGGCGGCAUGCCUAACACAUGCAGGUCGAACGAGACCUUCGGGUCUAGUGGCGCACGGGUGCGUAACGCGUGGGAACCUGCCCUUAGGUUCGGAAUAACUCCCCGAAAGGGGUGCUAAUACCGGAUAAUGUCUUCGGACCAAAGAUUUAUCGCCUUUGGAUGGGCCCGCGUUGGAUUAGCUAGUUGGUAGGGUAAGAGCCUACCAAGGCGACGAUCCAUAGCUGGUCUGAGAGGAUGAUCAGCCACACUGGGACUGAGACACGGCCCAGACUCCUACGGGAGGCAGCAGUGGGGAAUAGUGGACAAUGGGCGAAAGCCUGAUCCAGCAAUGCCGCGUGAGUGAUGAAGGCCUUAGGGUUGUAAAGCUCUUUUACCCGGGAUGAUAAUGACAGUACCGGGAGAAUAAGCUCCGGCUAACUCCGUG